GGCAUUAAGAGGUUAUUUUUAAUGUCUGGCCUGCCCUAUGGCUUAGGCUAAAUGGCCGCAGUAUCUUGACUGUGUAAAGGUAGCAUAAUCAAUUGUCUAUUAAUUGUAGACUUGAAUGAAAGGUUGGACUUAGCUUUGCUUUUUUGGUUGUUAUUGAUGAAUUUAUAUAUUUUGUAAAAAUACAAGAGUGGGAGUAGGGGACGAGAAGACCCUAUUGAGCUUAAUAUUUAUUUUAUGUUUUGCUGUAAAUGGGAGAAUUUACAUGACACAAUAUUUUACUGGGGCGGUAGAUUCGUAAGAAACGUAAUUUUUUGAUCCACUAAAAUGUGAGUGUAGGAUCAAGUUACUGUAGGGAUAACAGCUUAAUUUUGCUUGAUAGUUCUUAUUGAUGGCGGAGUUUGUGACCUCGAUGUUGGCUUAAGGUACCUACAUAGAAGUAUAAAGCUUGUAAGGUGGUUUGUUCAACCAUUAAACCUUUAUG
This 481-nucleotide ribosomal RNA is filed under the name Cryptops pictus. Its description in RNAcentral is "partial 16S ribosomal RNA". It matches the Rfam family "Bacterial large subunit ribosomal RNA", at positions 1827 to 2600 of the family's 2925-position model. Lineage: Eukaryota; Metazoa; Arthropoda; Chilopoda; Scolopendromorpha; Cryptopidae. The record is from RNAcentral.